GGCUUAAUACAUGCACGUCGAGGGGCAGCAUGAAUGUAGCAAUACAUUUGAUGGCGACCGGCAAACGGGUGCGGAACACGUACACAACCUUCCUAUAAGUGGGGAAUAGCCCAGAGAAAUUUGGAUUAAUACCCCGUAACAUAAUGAUGUGGCAUCACAUUAUUAUUAUAGCUACGGCGCUUAUUGAUGGGUGUGCGGCUGAUUAGAUAGUUGGCGGGGUAACGGCCCACCAAGUCUACGAUCAGUAGCUGAUGUGAGAGCAUGAUCAGCCACACGGGCACUGAGACACGGGCCCGACUCCUACGGGAGGCAGCAGUAAGGAAUAUUGGUCAAUGGACGCAAGUCUGAACCAGCCAUGCCGCGUGAAGGAUUAAGGUCCUCUGGAUUGUCUACUUC
Molecule: ribosomal RNA, 396 nt
Filed under: uncultured organism
Description: bacterial SSU rRNA
Rfam family: Bacterial small subunit ribosomal RNA
Source: RNAcentral